This 24-nucleotide non-coding RNA is filed under the name Rattus norvegicus (Norway rat). The record is from RNAcentral. Lineage: Eukaryota; Metazoa; Chordata; Mammalia; Rodentia; Muridae.
UGAUUGUGAAAGGUGUUUGGGGUC